CGGGCAGUAGCUCAGUCGUAGAGCUCCCGCUUCAUAUACGGAAAGACCUGGGUUCGAUUCACGGCUGCUUAC
RNAcentral lists this transfer RNA (72 nucleotides) under Toxocara canis (dog roundworm). It matches the Rfam family "tRNA". Rfam says of the family: Transfer RNA (tRNA) molecules are approximately 80 nucleotides in length. Their secondary structure includes four short double-helical elements and three loops (D, anti-codon, and T loops). Lineage: Eukaryota; Metazoa; Nematoda; Chromadorea; Rhabditida; Toxocaridae. The record is from Rfam by way of RNAcentral.